This 929-nucleotide long non-coding RNA is filed under the name Marmota monax (woodchuck). Lineage: Eukaryota; Metazoa; Chordata; Mammalia; Rodentia; Sciuridae. The record is from RNAcentral.
GAAGGCUCACCGGCCGACAGGCCACCCUGGUUCAAGGCUGCUGGGCGUGGCUUUUGCUCUGCGGGGACACACCCAGUGAAACCCAGGGCGCUCUCAAGGUGACAGUGAGGAGGGCAGUGGCUCUGGGAGACAGACCUUGCGACAUCCUGGGUAUUGAAGGAAUGGCAGCUGAAAUCAGGCUGAUCCGAGAGCGUGGGAUUCCGCGAAGGGACACAGGACAACCUUAAGUACACUCGCUACUGGACAAGAGAGGCCGAAGACCCGGCCUUGGUCAGUCACCCUCGGAAAGGAUUUUUGAAAAGAGAUCCUAUGGUUUGGAUCUGGAAUGUCCUCCAAAGCUCCCGUGUCGAGGAGUGUCCAGGGGUGGGCCUUGUGGGAAGUGAGUGGUAGCACCUCGAGGUGGAUUAAUCCAUUUGGUGGAUUCAUAGCUGAAGGAACCACUGGGAGGUGGUGGAGGCUACAGGCAGUGGGAUUGGAGGGAGUGGGUCCUGGGGGGGACAUGCCCUUAGGGACAAGGUCUUCUCUCUUCCUCCCCCUCUGCUGCUCGGAGGCAUGAGUAGCCCUGCUCUGCCACGGGCCGUCCACCAUGAUGUCCUGUCUCACCACAGGCCCAUCAUGCUGGGGCCACACAGCAUGGACUGAAAUGUCUGAAACCAGGAGCCAAAAUAAGUCCUUCUACCUUUUAAGUGGCUUUUCUCAGGUAUGUUGUCACAGUGACGGAAAACUGACCUAUAGAUGAGAAUGACGGAGGUAAAAGAUAAACAGAAAGCAGAGCCACUGAGCCACAGAAAGCAUGAAGAAGCCCCAGAGCCGGUGCCGGGACUCACCAGAGAGAUGCGUCUCUCAUGAGCCUGGUAAAGAAAGAAAGAGCAAACAAGACCCAGCACAGAAUGAAAAAAGUAGGCUGGGGCCAGGGCUCAGUGGGAGAG